CAUUCGAGUGGCGGACGGGUGAGUAACGUGUGGGUAACCUGCCUUACACAGGGGGAUAACACCUGGAAACAGGUGCUAAUACCGCAUAAGCGCACAGGGCCGCAUGGCCCGGUGUGAAAAACUCCGGUGGUGUAAGAUGGGCCCGCGUCUGAUUAGCUUGUUGGCGGGGUAGGGGCCCACCAAGGCGACGAUCAGUAGCCGGCCUGAGAGGGUGGACGGCCACAUUGGGACUGAGACACGGCCCAAACUCCUACGGAAGGCAGCAG
This 266-nucleotide ribosomal RNA is filed under the name uncultured bacterium. RNAcentral describes it as "partial 16S ribosomal RNA". It matches the Rfam family "Bacterial small subunit ribosomal RNA", at positions 88 to 354 of the family's 1533-position model. The record is from RNAcentral.